GACGUAGGGCGCGAGCGUUGUCCGGAUUUCUUGGGCGUAAAGCGCUCGUAGGCGGCUUGUCGCGUCGGCUGUGAAAUCCCGUGGCUCAACUGCGGGUCUGCAGCCGAUACGGGCAGGCUAGAGUUCGGUAGGGGAGACUGGAAUUCCUGGUGUAGCGGUGAAAUGCGCAGAUAUCAGGAGGAACACCGGUGGCGAAGGCGGGUCUCUGGGCCGAUACUGACGCUGAGGAGCGAAAGCGUGGGGAGCGAACAGG
Molecule: ribosomal RNA, 253 nt
Filed under: uncultured bacterium
Lineage: Bacteria
Description: partial 16S ribosomal RNA
Rfam family: Bacterial small subunit ribosomal RNA
Source: RNAcentral